UAUCUGCUAAUGUCUACUAUUUUUACUUAUCCAAAACGUCCACUACUGCAAAAUUAAAUACGAUCUCUUUCCAUACCUUACAAGAAGCAGCUAGUUCCGAGCUCCAUUUGGAAGCCUCGUGAAUAAUCUCAUUACCUUCCCGAGCAAGAUCGCGUCCUUCAUUACGAGCUUUUACACAUGCUUCUAGAGCUACUCGAUUAGCUACGGCCCCUGGCAUAUUACCCCAAGGAUGUCCUAAAGUUCCUCCACCAAACUGUAGUACAGAAUCAUCCCCAAAGAUCUCGGUCAGAGCAGGCAUAUGCCAAACAUGAAUACCUCCUGAAUCCACAGGUAGAACACCUGGUAAAGAGACCCAAUCUUGAGUGAAAUAAGUACCGCGAGUUCGAUCUUGUUCAAUAAAAUCAUCACGCAAUAAAUCAACAAAGCCCUAAGUUAUGUCUCUUUCACCUUCAAGUUUAACUACUACGGUACCAGCGUGAAUAUGAUCUCCACCAGACAUACGUAACGUUUUUGCUAAUACCCAGAAGUGCAUACCAUGAUUCUUCUGUCUAUCAAUAACCGCAUGCAUUGCACGGUGGAUGUGAAGAAGUAGACCAUUAUCUCGGCAAUAAUGAGCCAAGCUAGUAUUUGCGGUGAAUCCCCCCAUUAAGUAGUCAUGCAUUACGAUCGGAACGCCCAAUUCUCUAGCAAAUACAGCUCUUUUCAUCAUUUCUUCGCAUUUACCUGCAGUAGCAUUCAAGUAAUGCCCUUUGAUUUCACUUGUUUCAAUCUAUGCUUUAAAAAUUGCUUCGGUACAAAAUAAGAAACAAUCUCUCCAAAGCAUAAAUGGUUGUGAGUUCACGUUCUCAUCAUCUUUGGUAAAAUCAAGUCCGCCGUGAAGACAUUCAUAAACAGCUCUACCAUAGUUUUUAGCAGAUAACCCCAAUUUAGGUUUAAUAGUACAUCCCAACAGGGGACGACCGUACUUGUUCAAUUUAUCUCUUUCAACUUGGAUCCCAUGAGGCGGACCUUGGAAAGUUUUAAUAUAAGCAGUAGGGACUCGCAGAUCUUCCAGACGUAGAGCGCGCAGGGCUUUGAACCCAAAUACAUUACCUACAAUGGAAGUAAACAUGUUGGUAACGGAACCUUCUUCAAAAAGGUCUAAAGGGUAAGCUACAUAAGCAAUAUAUUGAUCUUUUUCUCCAACAACACGCUCGAUGCGGUAGCAUCGCCCUUUGUAACGAUCAAGACUGGUAAGUCCAUCGGUCCAUACAGUUGUCCAUGUACCAGUAGAAGAUUCGGCAGCUACCGCGGCCCCUGCUUCUUCAGGUGGAACUCCAGGUUGAGGAGUUACUCGGAAUGCUGCCAAUAUAUCAGUAUCCUUGGUUUGGUACUCAGGAGUAUAAUAAGUCAAUUUGUACUCUUUAACACCAGCUUUGAAUCCAACACUUGCUUUAGUCUCUGUUUGUGGUGACAUAAAUCCCUCCCUACAACUCAUGAAUUAAGAAUUCUCACAACAACAAGGUCUACUCGACACGAAUUACGCGUUAAUGAAACUUUUCACAGGAAUCUUUCAGAAAAUUUCCAACUAAUACUAAUAUUAUCAAUUAAUCAGAAUGGUUGAUUAUUAGACCAUGGUAUUUGAUU
This 1626-nucleotide long non-coding RNA is filed under the name Capsicum annuum. Its description in RNAcentral is "long non-coding RNA (CANN_LNC019376)". Lineage: Eukaryota; Viridiplantae; Streptophyta; Magnoliopsida; Solanales; Solanaceae. The record is from RNAcentral.